This 1164-nucleotide long non-coding RNA is filed under the name Macaca mulatta (Rhesus monkey). RNAcentral's name for it is "lncRNA (ENSMMUG00000054658.1)". The record is from RNAcentral. Lineage: Eukaryota; Metazoa; Chordata; Mammalia; Primates; Cercopithecidae.
AAAAUUAUGCAAAUGUAAAGAAUGUGAAGAAGCCAUUAAUAUCUGCUCACAUCUUAUUCAAUAUCAGAGAGUUCAUACUUAAUAGAAACAUUAAAAAUGAAAUUACUGUCAAUAGAUUUUUCAGAAAAUAUAAGCCUUUAAAGUGAAGAAGAGUAUUUAUUUUGAAGACAAGCAUUAAAAUAUCAAGAGCGUGAGCCACUGUGCCCACCAAAAUAUACUUUUUCUUGAAAAAAAUUUAUAGAUUUUUUAAUAUGUGAAUAAUGAUGGAAUUCAACUCUCAAAUUCAUGCUGUUUCUUUAUUCCUAUUGCAUUCAUAUGUGAAAGUAUGUGAUGAAUGGUUCCUGCAUGAAAGAUAUGAGAGAUUGUUUUUUAUUAGGUAGGCAUUAUUAUCUCUUCUAUGAAAGAGUAAAGACAUUAAAAUGUAAGAUAUAUGAUGAAAAUCUAAGUAGGGAUGCUCUUUGUGGUUAACUUAUAAUAUUGAGUGAUGCAUGAAGUAGGUGUUCAGUUUAAUAUUCUGCUUUAUGAGAAAAAUAUUUUUAAUUUUAGUUAAAAUUUAAUAGUGUUAUUUUACUAAUUGUACUUUUAUGUGAUACAAUCUAGUACAUUUAAAAACUUUGAAAUUAUGUGUAGACUUAACUUUUUAAUUUAACAUUUUUAACAUGUUAAAUACUAUUGUGCAUUCAAUAAAGCAUUAUUUUGCCACUAACCUUAACCCAUUCCACCUUACUCAAGAGUGUAGGUAAAAGAUAGUAUUAUUUGUUAACGUAAUAAAGUAGUAUCUGUAGUAAUCUUUUUUGCUAGUGGCUUUAAACUGCAAAGAAGUUAAAGAAUGUUGUUCCUGUAUGUUAAAUUUUUUUUUCUUAUUUAAAUUUACUUAAUAUUUUUGGGUAGAUAGUAUGUGUAUAUAUUUAAACCAUAUAUGGCAUAUUUUGGUACAUACAAUAUAUAAUAAUCACCUCAUGGUAAAUUAGGUAUCUGUCACCUCUAGCAUUUAUCCUUUGUAUUAUAGAAAAUUUAAUUUUAUGCUUUUUGUUAGUUUAAAAUGUGCAACUAAACUGUUACCAAUGGCCUCACCUCUGGCAUUUAUCCUUUGUAUUACAGAAAAUUUAAUUUCUCACUUUUUGUUAGUUUAAAAUGUACAAUUAAACUGUUACCGAUGGCCAG